This 1487-nucleotide ribosomal RNA is filed under the name uncultured rumen bacterium. RNAcentral's name for it is "bacterial SSU rRNA". It matches the Rfam family "Bacterial small subunit ribosomal RNA". The record is from RNAcentral.
AGAGUUUGAUCAUGGCUCAGGAUGAACGCUGGCGGCGUGCCUAACACAUGCAAGUCGAGCGAGACUCCGGCAGAAGAGACUUCGGUUAAAUCAGUCGGACGGUAGCGGCGGACGGGUGAGUAACGCGUAGGCAAUCUGCCCCGUACAGAGGGAUAGCCGUUGGAAACGACGAGUAAGACCUCAUGAUGCAGCACUUUCACAUGGGAGAGCUGCCAAAGAUUUAUCGGUAUGGGAUGAGCCUGCGUCUGAUUAGCUGGUUGGUGAGGUAACGGCCCACCAAGGCGACGAUCAGUAGCCGACCUGAGAGGGUGAUCGGCCACAUUGGAACUGAGACACGGUCCAAACUCCUACGGGAGGCAGCAGUGGGGAAUAUUGCACAAUGGAGGGAACUCUGAUGCAGCAACGCCGCGUGAAGGAUGAAGGUUUUCGGAUCGUAAACUUCUGUCCAUGGGGACGAAGAAAGUGACGGUACCCGUGGAGGAAGCCCCGGCUAACUACGUGCCAGCAGCCGCGGUAAUACGUAGGGGGGCGAGCGUUAUCCGGAAUUAUUGGGCGUAAAGAGUGCGUAGGGUGGCCCACUAAGCGCAGGGUUUAAGGCAAUGGCUUAACUGUUGUUCGCCUUGCGAACUGGAGGGCUUGAGUUCAGGAGAGGAAAGUGGAAUUCCUAGUGUAGCGNUGGAAUGCGUAGAUAUUAGGAGGANNNCNNNNGGCGAAGGCGACUUUUCUGGACUGAUACUGACACUGAGGCACGAAAGCGUGGGGGAGCAAACAGGAUUAGAUACCCUGGUAGUCCACGCCGUUAAACGAUGAGCACUAGGUGUNNGGGNNNNNAAGGCUUNGGUGCCGCAGUUAACGCAAUAAGUGCUCCGCCUGGGGAGUAUGCACGCAAGUGUUAAACUCAAAGGAAUUGACGGGGACCCGCACAAGCAGCGGAGCAUGUGGUUUAAUUCGAAGCAACGCGAAGAACCUUACCAGGACUUGACAUCCCCCUGACAGGGCUUUAAAAGGCCCCUUCUUCGGACAGGGGAGACAGGUGGUGCAUGGUUGUCGUCAGCUCGUGUCGUGAGAUGUUGGGUUAAGUCCCGCAACGAGCGCAACCCUUGCCUUUAGUUGCCAUCAUCAAGUUGGGCACUCUAGAGGGACUGCCGGGGACAACUCGGAGGAAGGUGGGGAUGACGUCAAAUCAUCAUGCCCCUUAUGUUCUGGGCUACACACGUGCUACAAUGGCCGGUACAGCAGGAAGCGAAGCCGUGAGGCGGAGCGAACCCCAAAAGCCGGUCCCAGUUCGGACUGCAGGCUGCAACCCGCCUGCACGAAGUCGGAGUUGCUAGUAAUCGCGGAUCAGCACGCCGCGGUGAAUGCGUUCCCGGGUCUUGUACACACCGCCCGUCACACCAUGGAAGUUGGUGGUGCCCGAAGUCGGUCAACAAAUCUACUGCCUAAGGCAAAACCAAUGACUGGGGUGAAGUCGUAACAAGGUAACCGUA